RNA transcript from Trichechus manatus latirostris (Florida manatee), 4915 nucleotides. It is a transcript of the gene named STT3 oligosaccharyltransferase complex catalytic subunit B, with no coding region annotated. The transcript is spliced from 18 exons. Lineage: Eukaryota; Metazoa; Chordata; Mammalia; Sirenia; Trichechidae. The record is from RefSeq and is a predicted model, not a curated record.
UGCUCCCAGCCGUGGGGCCGCCUCCGUCUGCUCCUGCUCCUUCUGUGGCGCCCUCGUCCCGUCGGCUUUCGCCGCCGCCGCAGCUGCACUAGGGAUACGGAUGGCUAGUGGGGCGCAGGGGCCAUCCGCGUUGAGAGAGCGGCGGUCCCGGCCGCUGCUGAGGCGGAGACUCCCCGCCGCCGCCUCCACCCCCCGUCCCCCAGCCUCGCGGCGCUGAGGGCGGGAGCGCGCGAGCUCUUCCCUCCUCCUCCUCUUUCUUCCUCCUCCUCCUCGUUCUCCGGGUCCCCGCCCAGCACCCCUCGCACCAGGCGGCGGCGGCGGCAAGGAGCGAGACCCGCCGCCGGGGCACAACAUGGCGGAGCCCUCGGCCCCGGAGAGCAAGCACAAGUCGGCCCUCAACUCGUCCCCGUGGAGCGGCCUGAUGGCCCUGGGGAACAGUCGGCACGGCCACCACGGGCCCGGGGCCCAGUGCGCGCACAAGGCGGCGAGCGGCGCGGCGCCGCCGAAGCCAGCCCCCGCGGGCUUGUCCGGGGGGCUGUCGCAGCCGGCCGGCUGGCAGUCGCUGCUCUCCUUCACCAUCCUCUUCCUGGCCUGGCUCGCCGGCUUCAGCUCGCGCCUCUUCGCCGUCAUCCGCUUCGAAAGCAUCAUCCACGAGUUCGACCCGUGGUUUAACUAUAGAUCAACACAUCAUCUUGCUUCUCAUGGGUUCUAUGAAUUUUUAAAUUGGUUUGAUGAAAGAGCAUGGUAUCCACUAGGAAGAAUAGUAGGUGGUACUGUUUACCCAGGAUUGAUGAUAACAGCGGGCCUUAUUCAUUGGAUUUUAAAUACAUUGAACAUAACAGUUCAUAUAAGAGAUGUAUGUGUGUUCCUUGCACCAACUUUUAGCGGCCUUACAUCUAUAUCUACUUUCCUGCUUACCAGAGAACUUUGGAACCAAGGAGCAGGACUUUUAGCUGCUUGUUUUAUUGCUAUUGUACCAGGUUACAUAUCUCGGUCAGUAGCUGGAUCCUUUGAUAAUGAAGGCAUUGCUAUUUUUGCACUUCAGUUCACGUACUACUUGUGGGUAAAAUCUGUAAAAACUGGGUCAGUUUUUUGGACAGUGUGCUGCUGCCUAUCAUAUUUCUAUAUGGUCUCUGCUUGGGGUGGUUAUGUGUUUAUCAUCAACCUGAUCCCACUGCAUGUAUUUGUGUUGUUACUGAUGCAGAGAUACAGCAGAAGAGUCUACAUAGCAUAUAGCACUUUCUACAUUGUGGGUUUAAUAUUAUCCAUGCAGAUACCCUUUGUGGGAUUCCAACCAAUCAGAACAAGUGAACACAUGGCAGCUGCAGGUGUCUUUGCAUUGCUGCAAGCUUAUGCUUUCUUGCAGUAUUUGAGAGACCGACUAACAAAACAAGAGUUCCAGACCCUUUUCUUCUUGGGUGUGUCAGUAGCUGCUGGUGCUGUGUUUCUCAGUGUCAUCUAUUUGACUUACACAGGUUACAUUGCACCAUGGAGUGGCAGGUUUUACUCAUUGUGGGACACUGGGUAUGCAAAAAUACACAUUCCGAUUAUUGCAUCAGUGUCUGAACAUCAGCCUACGACUUGGGUGUCUUUCUUCUUUGAUCUCCAUAUUCUUGUAUGUACCUUCCCAGCAGGCCUGUGGUUCUGCAUCAAAAAUAUCAAUGAUGAAAGAGUAUUUGUUGCUCUGUAUGCGAUUAGUGCUGUCUACUUUGCCGGAGUGAUGGUGCGGCUCAUGCUGACGUUGACUCCAGUCGUCUGUAUGCUGUCUGCAAUUGCCUUCUCCAAUGUUUUUGAGCACUACUUGGGGGAUGACAUGAAAAGGGAGAACCCACCUGUGGAGGACAGCAGUGAUGAGGAUGACAAAAGGAAUCCAGGAAACUUGUAUGAUAAGGCGGGUAAAGUGAGGAAACAUGUAACUGAACAGGAGAAGACUGAAGAAGGCUUAGGUCCGAAUAUAAAAAGCAUUGUCACUAUGUUGAUGCUGAUGCUGUUGAUGAUGUUUGCAGUCCACUGUACCUGGGUCACAAGCAAUGCCUACUCCAGUCCAAGUGUGGUCCUAGCCUCGUAUAAUCAUGACGGCACCAGGAAUAUCUUAGAUGAUUUUAGAGAAGCUUACUUUUGGCUAAGGCAAAAUACGGAUGAACAUGCCCGAGUGAUGUCUUGGUGGGACUAUGGCUAUCAGAUAGCUGGAAUGGCUAACAGAACUACUUUGGUGGAUAAUAACACGUGGAAUAACAGCCACAUUGCACUGGUAGGAAAAGCUAUGUCUUCAAAUGAAACAGCAGCCUAUAAAAUUAUGAGGACUCUGGAUGUAGAUUAUGUUUUGGUUAUUUUUGGAGGCGUUAUUGGUUAUUCUGGUGAUGAUAUCAACAAAUUUCUUUGGAUGGUUAGGAUAGCUGAAGGAGAACAUCCAAAAGACAUUCGGGAAAGUGACUAUUUCACCCCACAGGGAGAGUUCCGUGUAGACAAAGCAGGAUCCCCCACUUUGUUGAAUUGCCUUAUGUACAAAAUGUCAUACUACAGAUUCGGAGAAAUGCAGCUGGAUUUUCGUACACCCCCAGGUUUUGACCGAACGCGUAAUGCUGAGAUUGGAAACAAGGACAUUAAAUUCAGGCAUUUGGAGGAAGCCUUUACAUCAGAACACUGGCUUGUUAGGAUAUAUAAAGUGAAAGCACCUGAUAACAGGGAGACACUAGACCACAAACCUCGAGUCACCAACAUUAUCCCAAAACAGAAGUAUUUGUCAAAGAAGGUGGGUGCCAAGUGAAGUCAUUUCUGUAACAGGGGAAAUCAAGACGACCAAAAGGAAGCGUGGCUACAUUAAAAAUAAGCUAGUUUUUAAGAAAGGCAAGAAGAUAUCUAAGAAGACUGUUUAAACACACUGUUCUGGUUCCUGACUUGAAGCAGUUGUCCUUGUGAGAACCGGUCUUUGCCUUUAGCUCAUGUCAUGUUUCACAGCAACGGAGGGUACCGAAACAUCACUGGUCCAGGUUAAUGUACAAAAUUUUCUGACAAUGCCUGAUUAAACAAAUAAUAAAAUUGGCUUAUUGAGAACAGCUGUUUCCGAUUUGUGAUGUGAAGCAAGACAGAGCACUGCUGUAAAUGUCUAGCAGCAGAUUUUUGUUAUUGGUACAUAUUAUCCUUCAGAUCUGAGAAUUUGGACUAAUUGCACCAAAGAACCCUCUAAUUUGGUCCCUGGCACGUGCAUACUUGUCAAUGUUUUUAUUCUUUUACAAGACCUGCAUUUCAUUUGAAUACCCAAAUAGCAAUAUGUAAAAUAUAAACGGAAGAAUGUGAAGAGAGCUUCUUGAACCAGUACACUAGUGCAGGCCUGAGAAAGAGGUAUUAGAAACGUAAUUAUACUUCCUUGAAAUAUAUUUAUUUUCAUGUUUCUCCAGUGCAAAGAAUGUUUCAUCAAAUGUGCGUUUUCUCUUGCUUACUGUUGACUCUGUCUGAGAAGAAGCUGCUGUUUCAGAGAUGGACCUCUUGAGUAGCUAAUUGAUUGAAACCGUAUUUUUACACUGACACGUGAUCACUGCUGUCGGCAGUUGUUUUCACCAGAAGUCUGCCUUGUUGUGCCUACAAUCCUGAGUUGAGGUAGGUGGAGUAAUGGAUAAAUGUAGAGCUUAGCUAUGGUCUGCAGUUGAGACUGAGGUAACAACCAGUAAUGAGAUGUCAUGCUUUCUAAUCUUUCUUUUAAAUUAAACCCUUUUUAUGGUGAAGUGUAAAAUAGAGAAGAACACAAAAAUGUCUGGCUUAGUGAAUUACCACAAAGCAAGCAACCUGGUAACCACAGCCCAGGUCAAGGAAGAGAACAGUGCCAGCACCCCAGAAGUUUCUUCAUGCCCCUACCCAAUCACGGUCCUGUCCCACUUCCCCUUCCAAAAGAUGGGUGUCCAUUCUGCCUGCACCAUUUGUUAGAUCAGCUGACCACAGGUGGGUGAAUUUACAUCUGGGUUAUCAGUUCUGUUCUGUGUGUCUGUCGCUGUACCAGUACCAGGCUGUUUUGACUACCUUGGCUGUUAAAGUAGGUGCUUCACCUUUUUUUUUUUAAAACAAGGCAAAAUAUACCCACUUACCCCCAAGAAAAAGGAGACAAAGGUGAGCUUUCUCCAUGUUUUAUUCAUGAUUUGGAGUAAGACUGGAAAAUCUGAGACCACCACAGUGAUGUGAUAACUUUUUAGUCUUACUGAGAUUUUUUCCCCCUCAAUUUUUUUCCCUCAAAAUAGCCUCUGCUCUUCCUCAGAAAUGAAUUGGUUCCAGUUUCACCCCAUUUACUCAGAUGUUUUAAGACUAUGGACCUCAACAGGCCUGCAUUAUGACUGACUUGGCAGUGACUUACCACAAAACAAACCGCUCACUGGAUAUGGGUUAAAAUCUUAUUAACUUGACAGAAAAUAGCAAGGAAGUGCUUGGUGGAUUUUAACACUUUUGAUGUAAAUGAUUGCUGUUCACACCAAAUUAACAGUAAGUACCUAACCCAUAAAAUAUGACCCCACUCAGAGCCACCAACUCCAUCAGAACUUUUGACUCCCUGAAAAUAAAAGACACACAGGUAAGUAUUUAAUCGAAAUAUAUUUGUCUAAUAUCUACAAAGUGUGAACGUUGGUCUUAAGCAGACAAAAGGCACAAAAUUAGUAGUAUUACAGAGAAGCAUUCAUGCUACUGGAUUUUAUAAAUAUCAUCAUUGGCAUGGUACAGUAAAAAAUAAAUUAAGCACUGAGCAAAAAAUCAAAUACUUUAUUUCUUUGACCUCAUUUUUAAAGGCUGAGGACAGAAAUUGAACUGAAACCAUGGAACACUUACUUAUGCAGGCUUUAUGUAUAUCUUAUAUCUUAAUCACAGUGGUUUUCUUGCAGAGUUUGGGUCAAACUAGAGAGGUGCAUUAAAAAAAAAAAAAAAUUUGCAGGAAAUU